This 387-nucleotide ribosomal RNA is filed under the name Hafnia paralvei. RNAcentral's name for it is "bacterial SSU rRNA". Lineage: Bacteria; Pseudomonadati; Pseudomonadota; Gammaproteobacteria; Enterobacterales; Hafniaceae. The record is from RNAcentral.
UCCUACGGGAGGCAGCAGUGGGGAAUAUUGCACAAUGGGCGCAAGCCUGAUGCAGCCAUGCCGCGUGUAUGAAGAAGGCCUUCGGGUUGUAAAGUACUUUCAGCGAGGAGGAAGGCAUUAAGGUUAAUAACCUURGUGAUUGACGUUACUCGCAGAAGAAGCACCGGCUAACUCCGUGCCAGCAGCCGCGGUAAUACGGAGGGUGCAAGCGUUAAUCGGAAUUACUGGGCGUAAAGCGCACGCAGGCGGUUKRUUAAGUCAGAUGUGAAAUCCCCGAGCUUAACUUGGGAACUGCAUUUGAAACUGGYMAGCUAGAGUCUUGUAGAGGGGGGUAGAAUUCCAGGUGUAGCGGUGAAAUGCGUARAGAUCUGGAGGAAUACCGGUGGC